GUGUCAGCAGCCGCGGUAAAACGUAGGAGCCAAGCGUUAUCCGAAUUUACUGGGCGUAAAGCGCGUGCAGGCGGCUAGGUAAGUUGGCUGUGAAAUCUCCCGGCUCAACUGGGAGGGGACGGUCAAGACUGCCAAGCUGGAGGCAGGGAGAGGGAGGCGGAAUUCCCGGUGUAGUGGUGAAAUGCGUAGAGAUCGGGAGGAACACCCGUGGCGAAAGCGGCCUCCUAGACCUGACCUGACGCUCAGACGCGAAAGCUAGGGGAGCGAACGGGAUUAGAUACCCUGGUAGUCC
Molecule: ribosomal RNA, 292 nt
Filed under: uncultured bacterium
Lineage: Bacteria
Description: partial 16S ribosomal RNA
Rfam family: Bacterial small subunit ribosomal RNA
Source: RNAcentral